AUGUCCAAGUUUUUAUCAGCUGUUGCAGAACUGUGGUACUCUCUGGCAAUGGAGACUUUAUGCCAGCUCAAUACCUCAAGGGCAAGACAAAGACGUCAUCAAGUUAUGCAAGCAGACCAUCUCACAGCUUCUCCUAGGAGGAGAGAUAAGAGACUUUCAUCAGAUGUAAAACAGCAUUCCCAGAGGAUAUCAGCAAUGACCAACGGACUAAUUUCUCUCAUCCUGCCCAUUUCUGGGGUUGCUUUUCAUCAUGGUCACUGCUUCCUUUUCCAGCCUCAAAAACAGUUUUCUCAAUCAUCUUGGGCACUGAGUUGGUGCCUCAGCACUUGGAUCUGUGUUCUAUGAUCUUCUUUUCAGAGUGUUCUCUCAUUUGUCCCUGUCCAUGUGAUGUUUUUCUGACACUAUUUUUUCUUCUUGUGCCACUUUAUCACUGUUUUUCUCCAUGACGUGCUGUUAAAAGAGGUGAGAUAUCUGGAAAAAAAUUAGAUUUAGCAGGAAAAAAAGAAGCAGCUCACCAAAAAACUACCUAGAAAGUAAGUAGUUUUUCUUUUUCUAAUUUCUUAUAUGUGUGUGUGUGCUGGUAUCUUAAAAUCUACAUUCAUGAUUUUAUCUACAACAUAGGGCUUAUUUUGUAAAUGAGCUUCAACACUCUAUCAAAUUGUAAUUAUUCAUGAAUAGUCUCUCUUUAUUGUUAAUGAUAUGCAUCACACUAACAGAGUUUGAUAUGCUGAUUAUAAGAAUAAAGUUCAUCUGAGGUAACA
RNAcentral lists this long non-coding RNA (761 nucleotides) under Calidris pygmaea (Spoon-billed sandpiper). RNAcentral's name for it is "lncRNA (ENSCPGG00000008663.1)". Lineage: Eukaryota; Metazoa; Chordata; Aves; Charadriiformes; Scolopacidae. The record is from RNAcentral.